Molecule: transfer RNA, 34 nt
Filed under: Scythrophrys sawayae (Banhado frog)
Lineage: Eukaryota; Metazoa; Chordata; Amphibia; Anura; Leptodactylidae
Description: partial tRNA-Val
Source: RNAcentral
CGAGAAAAUCUCUGUGAAAACCAGAGUAUUUCGA